GAUGAACGCUGGCGGCGUGCCUAAUACGUGCAAGUCGAGCGAACGGACGAGAAGCUUGCUUUUCUGAUGUUAGCGGCGGACGGGUGAGUAACACGUGGAUAACCUACCUAUAAGACUGGGAUAACUUCGGGAAACCGUAUCUAAUACCGGAUAAUAUUUUGAACCGCAUGGUUCAAAAGUGAAAUACGGUCUUGCUGUCACUUAUAGAUGGAUCCGCGCUGCAUUAGCUAGUUGGUAAGGUAACGGCUUACCAAGGCAACGAUGCAUAGCCGACCUGAGAGGGUGAUCGGCCACACUGGAACUGAGACACGGUCCAGACUCCUACGGGAGGAAGCAGUAGGGAAUCUUCCGCAAUGGGCGAAAGCCUGACGGAGCAACGCCGCGUGAGCGAUGAAGGUCUUCGGAUCGUAAAACUCUGUUAUUAGGGAAGAACAUAUGUGUAAGUAACUGUGCACAUCUUGACGGUACCUAAUCAGAAAGCCACGGCUAACUCCGUG
Molecule: ribosomal RNA, 497 nt
Filed under: uncultured bacterium
Lineage: Bacteria
Description: partial 16S ribosomal RNA
Rfam family: Bacterial small subunit ribosomal RNA
Source: RNAcentral